GUGAACGCUGGCGGUAGGCCUAACACAUGCAAGUCGUACGGCAGCACAGUAAGAGCUUGCUCUUACGGGUGGCGAGUGGCGGACGGGUGAGGAAUACAUCGGAAUCUACUUUUUCGUGGGGGAUAACGUAGGGAAACUUACGCUAAUACCGCAUACGACCUACGGGUGAAAGCAGGGGAUCUUCGGACCUUGCGCGAUUGAAUGAGCCGAUGUCGGAUUAGCUAGUUGGCGGGGUAAAGGCCCACCAAGGCGACGAUCCGUAGCUGGUCUGAGAGGAUGAUCAGCCACACUGGAACUGAGACACGGUCCAGACUCCUACGGGAGGCAGCAGUGGGGAAUAUUGGACAAUGGGCGCAAGCCUGAUCCAGCCAUACCGCGUGGGUGAAGAAGGCCUUCGGGUUGUAAAGCCCUUUUGUUGGGAAAGAAAAGCAGCAGGUUAAUACCCCGCUGUUCUGACGGUACCCAAAGAAUAAGCACCGGCUAACUUCGUG
RNAcentral lists this ribosomal RNA (491 nucleotides) under uncultured bacterium. Its description in RNAcentral is "partial 16S ribosomal RNA". It matches the Rfam family "Bacterial small subunit ribosomal RNA", at positions 29 to 507 of the family's 1533-position model. The record is from RNAcentral.